ACUCUAUAAGUAGGUAAUUUAUAUAACAUCAUAGCAGGUACAGAACUGUUUUUCCUGAACAACUUGCAUUAAAAAAAGUGCUCUUUGUUGAGUUCUUAGGGAUCCAGAAGAUCUUAUUCGCGUGUAUUUGCACUCGGAAGGGUUAUGAUGACUAUAUAAUAAUCAGACAUAGUACGAUAAGGUAGUAUGUCUAAAGGGAAACAGCCCAGAACAAGAGUUAAUAAGGUUCCAAAAUUAUUGUUAAGUGAAAAUAAGGAAGUUUCAAUCAAAUAUGCCCAGGAAAUAGGCUUAGAUGCGGCCAUUUUUUGAAGACCUCGUAACAGAGCACUGGAUUAGUAAGUUAUUUUUAUAAUUUAUAUUGAUAAAAGCACCAAAAAUUUAACGGAUCUAAACAAUAUACCGAGACCUUGUCCAUAUUUAUAUAUAUAUCUAAGUUGUAUAUUGUAUUUAUGGGGUAGCGGAACAUUGGGCAAAUAUAAGAAUUUUUCUUUUUAAGACUUAAGAUAAUAUAACCCAAGCGAUAAUGCUGACAUGAGUAACGAUAAAGGGAAUAAACUAUUCCCUCGCCUAAAACUUAUGGUAUUUACUUAAAGUAACGGCCUCUAAGUUUAUGCACCUAAAGGACUAAACGAUGAGAAAAUCUACUCUACUAAUGAUGAGAAAAUCUACUCUCCUAAAGGAUGAGAAAAUCUACUCUACUAAUGAUGAGAAAAUCUACUCUCCUAAAGGAUGAGAAAAUCUACUCACUGCGAAUAAAUAACCUUUGUGAUGAGACUUAUGCCGCUAUAGACGUAGUAAAGUGUAAGCUUUUUUGCUAAAGUAACAAGGUUCUGGAAAAUUUAAGUAGUGCAUCAUGGACAAUAGGGAGGACGCAAUCUCCUGCCUACCAUGGUGUAAAAAGACCGUACCUAGAAACUACCCCAGUAAGUUAGUAGAGAAUACGAAGGCGUUUGAGUGAAACAUCAUUAAGA
Molecule: ribosomal RNA, 971 nt
Filed under: Umbilicaria cinereorufescens
Lineage: Eukaryota; Fungi; Ascomycota; Lecanoromycetes; Umbilicariales; Umbilicariaceae
Description: partial large subunit ribosomal RNA
Rfam family: Bacterial large subunit ribosomal RNA
Source: RNAcentral